UACGUAGGGUGCGAGCGUUAAUCGGAAUUACUGGGCGUAAAGCGUGCGCAGGCGGUUAUGUAAGACAGAUGUGAAAUCCCCGGGCUCAACCUGGGAACUGCAUUUGUGACUGCAUAGCUAGAGUACGGCAGGGGGGGAUGGAAUUCCACGUGUAGCAGUGAAAUGCGUAGAUAUGCGGAGGAACACCGAUGGCGAAGGCAAUCCCCUGGGCCUGUACUGACGCUCAUGCACGAAAGCGUGGGGAGCGAAC
RNAcentral lists this ribosomal RNA (250 nucleotides) under uncultured bacterium. Its description in RNAcentral is "partial 16S ribosomal RNA". It matches the Rfam family "Bacterial small subunit ribosomal RNA", at positions 524 to 773 of the family's 1533-position model. The record is from RNAcentral. RNAcentral also lists the same sequence under 1 other name.